CCAAUAGCGUAUAUUAAAGUUGCUGCAGUUAAAAAGCUCGUAGUUGAAUUUCGGGACUAAUAUGUCGGUCGUGCCUCGGUACGUACUGGUAUUUUUGGUUUCUCCCUUCUGACGAACCUUGAUGUCAUUAAUUUGGUGUCUUGGGAAAUCAGGACUGUUACUUUGAAAAAAUUAGAGUGUUUAAAGCAGGCUCACGCUUGAAUACAUUAGCAUGGAAUAAUGAAAUAGGACGUUUGAUUCUAUUUUGUUGGUUUCUAGGAUCGACGUAAUGAUUAAUAGGGAUAGUUGGGGGCAUUAGUAUUAAAUUGUCAGAGGUUAAAUUCUUGGAUUUAUUGAAGACUAACUACUGCGAAAGCAUUUGCCAAGGAUGUUUUCAUUAAUCAAGAACGAAAGUUAGGGGAUCGAAGACGAUCAGAUACCGUCGUAGUCUUAACCAUAAACUAUGCCGACUAGGGAUCGGAUGAUGUUAAUUUUUUAAUGACUCAUUCGGCGCCUUACG
RNAcentral lists this ribosomal RNA (499 nucleotides) under uncultured Glomeromycotina. Its description in RNAcentral is "partial small subunit ribosomal RNA". It matches the Rfam family "Eukaryotic small subunit ribosomal RNA", at positions 591 to 1092 of the family's 1831-position model. Lineage: Eukaryota; Fungi; Glomeromycota. The record is from RNAcentral.